CCUACGGGAGACAGCAGUGAGGUAUAUUGGUCAAUGGGCGAGAGCCUGAACCAGCCAAGUCGCGUGAGGGAGUACUGCCCUAUGGGUUGUAAACCUCUUUUGUCGGGGAGCAAAAGCCGGACGUGUCCGGCUGUGAGAGUACCCGAAGAAAAAGCAUCGGCUAACUCCGUGCCAGCAGCCGCGGUAAUACGGAGGAUGCGAGCGUUAUCCGGAUUUAUUGGGUUUAAAGGGUGCGCAGGCGGAUUUUUAAGUCAGCGGUAAAAUCGUGGGGCUCAACCCCAUCCAGCCGUUGAAACUGGGGAUCUAGAGUGUGCGAGAGGUAUGCGGAAUGCGUGGUGUAGCGGUGAAAUGCAUAGAUAUCACGCAGAACCCCGAUUGCGAAGGCAGCAUACCGGUGCACAACUGACGCUCAGGCACGAAAGCGUGGGUAUCGAACAGGAUUAGAUACCCUUGUAGUC
This 458-nucleotide ribosomal RNA is filed under the name uncultured bacterium. RNAcentral describes it as "partial 16S ribosomal RNA". It matches the Rfam family "Bacterial small subunit ribosomal RNA", at positions 338 to 795 of the family's 1533-position model. The record is from RNAcentral.